Long non-coding RNA from Puntigrus tetrazona (Sumatra barb), 206 nucleotides. RefSeq lists it as uncharacterized. The record is from RefSeq and is a predicted model, not a curated record. The transcript has 5 exons. Lineage: Eukaryota; Metazoa; Chordata; Actinopteri; Cypriniformes; Cyprinidae.
GAAGAAUACAAGAAGAACAGUCAAGCAAGUGAAAAUCGAUACAAAGAGCAGCUGGAACGAAAUAGAGAUGAACUCAAGCAGUGCAAGGCAAAUUUUCACUAUCAACUCCAAGCAUGUGAAUAUCAAUACAAACAGCAGCUGAAAAAAUAAGUGAAUAUCAAUAUACAGAGGAUCUGAAACUAUACAAAGAGGAGCUGAAACGAAAA